CACACGUAGUCGGGUUGAAUAUACUCAGGCGCUUGAGUGAAUCACGGUUAAGGAACUAGGCAAAUUGACCCUGUAACU
RNAcentral lists this ribosomal RNA (78 nucleotides) under Bacteroides fragilis str. B1 (UDC16-1). Its description in RNAcentral is "partial 16S ribosomal RNA". The record is from RNAcentral. Lineage: Bacteria; Pseudomonadati; Bacteroidota; Bacteroidia; Bacteroidales; Bacteroidaceae.